UACGUAGGGCGCAAGCGUUAUCCGGAAUUACUGGGCGUAAAGGGCGCGUAGGCGGCCCGCUAAGUCGAACGUGAAAUCCCCGGGCUCAACCCGGGAACUGCGUCCGAUACUGGUGGGCUUGAAUCCGGGAGAGGGUAGUGGAAUUUCCGGUGUAGCGGUGAAAUGCGUAGAGAUCGGAAGGAACACCAGUGGCGAAGGCGGCUACCUGGCCUAAUACUGACACUGAGACACGGAAAGCGUGGG
Molecule: ribosomal RNA, 243 nt
Filed under: uncultured bacterium
Lineage: Bacteria
Description: partial 16S ribosomal RNA
Rfam family: Bacterial small subunit ribosomal RNA
Source: RNAcentral